Molecule: ribosomal RNA, 465 nt
Filed under: uncultured bacterium
Lineage: Bacteria
Description: partial 16S ribosomal RNA
Rfam family: Bacterial small subunit ribosomal RNA
Source: RNAcentral
GACGAACGCUGGCGGCGUGCUUAACACAUGCAAGUCGAACGGAAAGGCCCUGCUUGCAGGGUACUCGAGUGGCGAACGGGUGAGUAACACGUGGGUGAUCUGCCCUGCACUUCGGGAUACGCCUGGGAAACUGGGUCUAAUACCGGCUAGGAGCCAUUAUUAGUGUGAUGGUUGGAAAGUUUUUUCGGUGUAGGAUGAGCUCGCGGCCUAUCAGCUUGUUGGUGGGGUAAUGGCCUACCAAGGCGGCGACGGGUAGCCGGCCUGAGAGGGUGGACGGCCACACUGGGACUGAGAUACGGCGCAGACGCAGACGGGAGGCAGCAGUGGUGAAUAGUGCACAAUGGGCGCAAGCCUGAUGCAGCGACGCCGCGUGGGGGAGUACUGCCUUCGGGUUGUAAGCUCCUUUCGCUAGGGACGAAGCUUUUUGUGACGGUACCUAGAGAAGAAGCACCGGCUAACUACGUG